UGGCCAGACUCCUACGGGAGGCAGCAGUGGGGAAUAUUGCACAAUGGGGGGAACCCUGAUGCAGCAAUGCCGCGUGAAGGAUGAAGGUUUUCGGAUUGUAAACUUCUUUUGUACGGGACGAAGAAAGUGACGGUACCGUAAGAAUAAGCCACGGCUAACUCCGUGCCAGCAGCCGCGGUAAUACGUAGGGAGCAAGCGUUGUCCGGAUUUACUGGGUGUAAAGGGUGCGUAGGCGGCCCUGCAAGUCAGAAGUGAAAUCCAUGGGCUUAACCCGUGAACUGCUUUUGAAACUGUAGGGCUUGAGUGAAGUAGAGGCAGGCGGAAUUCCCGGUGUAGCGGUGAAAUGCGUAGAGAUCGGGAGGAACACCAGUGGCGAAGGCGGCCUGCUGGACGACAACUGACGGUGAGGCGCGAAAGCGUGGGGAGCAAACAGGAUUAGAUACCCCAGUA
This 450-nucleotide ribosomal RNA is filed under the name uncultured bacterium. RNAcentral describes it as "bacterial SSU rRNA". It matches the Rfam family "Bacterial small subunit ribosomal RNA", at positions 328 to 792 of the family's 1533-position model. The record is from RNAcentral.